This 1402-nucleotide long non-coding RNA is filed under the name Daphnia magna. RNAcentral describes it as "uncharacterized LOC116926480, transcript variant X8". The record is from RNAcentral. Lineage: Eukaryota; Metazoa; Arthropoda; Branchiopoda; Diplostraca; Daphniidae.
GCCAUCCGUCAGAACUCAUAAGAUAUAUAUAUAUUUAUUUCAUGGCCAAUUUGGCAACAUCCCUCAAUUAGCCUUUAUGCUAAUAAGCUCAUUUAACGUCAUUUUCACUUUCGUGCUUCAUAAUUCACGUUGUUUGAAAAAUUGCAGGUGCAUUUCCAAAUGGAAAUUAUUUUAAUAAGCAAAAAAAAAGAAAGAAAAAACCACCUAGGUAUGCUGCUUUCCUUGUAGUUGUUUACAGUUUUCCCUUUCCUUGGUAUCAUGCUUGGCAUGAAGGGUGGCAAGGUAGCCUAUACGGUCGGUCACAGCUGACCUCACUGAUAAUGCAAAAGUUUAUGUGAAACCUCGGGCCACUUUCAUCGCCUGUUCGUAAUUUCGUUUUUGAAAUCAAUUCGUUUCACUGGAGCUGCUGUUGAUAAGUGGAUAAGAUCUUUUCUAUACAACAUGACAGUUACGUACGAAGCAGAAAUGGUAAUUAAUCAAUGCCAGCUGUUAUACAAUCGAAGAAUAUUGAUCAGAUGAAACAAAAUCUCCACAUUUGCUAAGAAACCUAGUAUUAAUCUUUCCUCGUAAUAUUCAGGUCCAAUGAGUAGGUACAGCAUCGCUCUUGUCCAUUGUGGUAAUUUUCUUUUCCAUACAACUGCCAUUCUAACGUAGCAAGGUGAAGAGAAAACAAUCUUUUUACCUUGUUUCUUGAUUUUCUUUAAAUUGGCUAACCUUCUGUAGAAAGAACAAAUUAAGAAAGGGGAACCAAAAGUUGGGCAAGGUUAAUAGAAUGAUGAAAUUAUUUUUGACCAAUAAUUUGGAAUGUCGAUUGUUGGUUUCCAUUGUUUCCUUUUGGUACACAUCCAUCACUCCCGAAGACUCGUGGACAUUCCACGCGAAGGUGUUACAAGCCCGUGAGACUUCCCCAAAAGGAUUCGUACUUUUUCAUGGUUGGAAUUUUAUGUCAGCAUGUUAAAUUCAAAAGAAGCCUCUAUCAGAAUUUAUUGCUUUUCUCCUCAAAAUCCAUGAAACAUGUAUCAAUGCUCCAUUGGUAUUGCGACAAGCGAUGGGUAAAAAGGAAGGUCAAGACACGCAUCAUUGAACUGGUCAAUUUGGAAAAAAAAUGACUGCCUGUAAAAAUGUUGUCGCCAUCAUUAGCUACUUGAUUCCAUAUGAAGGCUGCGGCCUAUAUUUUGACCAUAGCCUUCCUGGAUCAAGGGAAGGUGUCCGGCUUGCAGGAACAUCAAACGUGUUUUGACGCAGCAUAAUAAUCAAAGUUCUAAUCGUGCUGAUGGUCCAAUUUUUCACGAUAACUAAGAAAUCAAUGUGGAAGCGUGAAAUUAGUUAUAUGGAUAGUCAACUUCAACGCUUUUCGCUGCUCCGUCCCGAAGAUAAAAUAUUAAAAUUUUUAUAAAUUGAA